UCCGGGCCCGGGGCCGCAGGGCCUCCGUGUGAGCUGCGUGCCGGAGAGCCGGAGUGAGGCCGACUCACCAGAGGUGGCAGCAACAGGCCAGAUUCACUCUCUAGUCUCCUCCGGAUGCGGCCAAGCUGGUUUCCCACCGACUUUCAUUCGACACGGCACAGACAGGGACUGGGGUGAAAAGCCAUAAAGAUGGCGCUGGCUGUUCGUCUUUUGCCCCGCUUGCUGUUCGCUCCGCCGCUGCCCGGCGGGGCCGGCCGACCCCGGACUCCCCGUGGAGCCGAGGUGAGACCGCCGUUGGCUGAACUCUGCCGCUUCUGCCGCCGCCGCCUCGGCUCCGGACCGGUCCCGCUUCCUCGAGUCACUUGGGCCUCGGCGCUGCCCGCUCGGGGCCCGCAGCGUCCCCUGCUCAGCCCUCCGGGACUACCCGCAGCCCUCUCCGCUUUCCCUGCCUACCCCCGGCGCAGCUACAGCGCCGAGGAGCAGCCCCAGCCGCGCCAGAAAACCAAGAUGAUCAUUCUGGGAUUCUCCAACCCCAUCAACUGGGUUCGGACUCGAAUUUACGCCUUCCUGAUCUGGGCCUAUUUCGACCAAGAGUUCAGCAUCGCAGAAUUCUCUGAGGGAGCGAAGCAGGCUUUUGCUCAUGUGUCCAAGUUGCUGUCACAAUGUAAAUUUGAUCUAUUGGAAGAACUUGUGGCCAAAGAGGUGCUACAUGUAUUGAAGGAAAAGGUUACUUCAUUACCUGAUAACCAUAAAAAUGCCCUUGCUGCUGACAUAGAUGAAAUUGUAUACACAUCAACAGGAGACAUCUCCAUUUACUAUGAUGAGAAAGUGCCAACAUCCCCAGUGAAACUUUAAGUGGAGCCAGUGUAUUCCAGGUUAAAUUGGGGGAUCAGAACGUGGAAACUAAACAACUUCUUAGUGCAAGCUAUGAAUUUCAGAGGGAGUUUACACAAGGAGUAAAGCCUGACUGGACCAUCGCACGGAUUGAACACUCAAAGUUAUUAGAAUGAUCUUUCUUGAAAAAUCAGCUUGUUGGACUUUUGGCAAUUACUAUGAAAAAUUAAGGAAAAAACCAUUUUGGAUCAGUUGAUCUUCACAUAGUCAAGUCUGUGGAUCACUUUUGUAUUAUUUUGAAAUAUUCCUUGUAGUAUAUUGGCAUGGUACAGUAAAGCCUUUUCCACAGAUUAUUAUCACCUUCUAUAAAAGAGAUCAAAGUAAAAAAACUACAACAGCUCA
This is an RNA transcript of Panthera uncia (snow leopard), 1236 nucleotides long. It is a transcript of the gene named matrix AAA peptidase interacting protein 1, with no coding region annotated. The transcript is spliced from 5 exons. The record is from RefSeq and is a predicted model, not a curated record. Lineage: Eukaryota; Metazoa; Chordata; Mammalia; Carnivora; Felidae.